This 495-nucleotide ribosomal RNA is filed under the name Triodontella sp. DA3896. RNAcentral describes it as "partial 16S large subunit ribosomal RNA". It matches the Rfam family "Bacterial large subunit ribosomal RNA", at positions 1844 to 2600 of the family's 2925-position model. Lineage: Eukaryota; Metazoa; Arthropoda; Insecta; Coleoptera; Scarabaeidae. The record is from RNAcentral.
UAUAAGGUCUAAUCUGCCCAAUGAGUAAUUGAAUGGCCGCGGUACUUUGACCGUGCAAAGGUAGCAUAAUAAUUAGUUUUUUAAUUGAAAGCUGGAAUGAAUGAUUGGACGAGAAAAUUACUGUCUCAGUUUAGAUUAACUUGAAUUUUAUUUUUAAGUAAAAAAGCUUAAAUUUAUUUAAAAGACGAGAAGACCCUAUAGAGUUUUAUAAAUUGAUUUAUAAUUUUAUAAAGGGAUAUUUUUGUGGUUAUAAUUUAUUUUAUUUUAUUGGGGCGAUAGAAAAAUUUAUUUAACUUUUUAUUUAUGAUAACAUUGAUAUAUGAAUUUUUGAUCCAAUUUUUUUGAUUAUAAGAUUAAAUUACCUUAGGGAUAACAGCGUAAUUUUUUUUUAGAGUUCUAAUCGAAAAAAAAGUUUGCGACCUCGAUGUUGGAUUAAAAUAAAUGUUUGGUGUAGAAGCUAAAUAAUUAGGUCUGUUCGACCUUUAAAAUUUUACA